AGAGUUUGAUUAUGGCUCACGAUGAACGCUGGCGGCGUGCCUAACACAUGCAAGUCGAACGGAUCCAUGCUGAAACCUAGUGAUGCAUGGAUUACUGGCGGACGGGUGAGUAACGCGUGGAUAACCUGCCGUAUACUGGGGGAUAACACUUAGAAAUAGGUGCUAAUACCGCAUAAGCGCACAGUCUCGCAUGAGACGGUGUGAGAAACUCCGGUGGUAUACGAUGGAUCCGCGUCUGAUUAACUUGUUGGCGGGGUAACAGCCCACCAAGGCGACGAUCAGUAGCCGGCCUGAGAGGGUGAACGGCCACAUUGGGACUGAGAUACGGCCCAAACUCCUACGGGAGGCAGCAUUGGGGAAUAUUGCACAAUGGGGGAAACUCUGAUGCAACGACGCCGCGUGAGUGAAGAAGUACCCCGGUACGUAAAGCUCUAU
This 435-nucleotide ribosomal RNA is filed under the name uncultured bacterium. Its description in RNAcentral is "bacterial SSU rRNA". It matches the Rfam family "Bacterial small subunit ribosomal RNA", at positions 8 to 436 of the family's 1533-position model. The record is from RNAcentral.